This 69-nucleotide non-coding RNA is filed under the name Rhodonellum psychrophilum. RNAcentral describes it as "Fluoride sequence". It matches the Rfam family "Fluoride riboswitch aptamer (crcB RNA motif)". Lineage: Bacteria; Pseudomonadati; Bacteroidota; Cytophagia; Cytophagales; Cytophagaceae. The record is from RNAcentral. RNAcentral also lists the same sequence under 1 other name.
AUUUCAUUCGGCGAUGGGGUUCCGCCUUACAACCGCUCCUUUUUUGGUGCUGAUGACUCCUACUUCAAC